GACGAACGCUGGCGGCGUGCUUAACACAUGCAAGUCGAACGGAAAGGCCCUGCUUUUGUGGGGUGCUCGAGUGGCGAACGGGUGAGUAACACGUGAGUAACCUGCCCUUGACUUUGGGAUAACUUCAGGAAACUGGGGCUAAUACCGGAUAGGAGCUCCUGCUGCAUGGUGGGGGUUGGAAAGUUUCGGCGGUUGGGGUUGGACUCGCGGCUUAUCAGCUUGUUGGUGGGGUAGUGGCUUACCAAGGCUUUGACGGGUAGCCGGCCUGAGAGGGUGACCGGCGACAUUGGGACUGCGAUAGGGCCCAGACGCCUACGGGAGACAGCAGGGGGGAAUAUUGCACAAUGAGAGGGAGCCUGAUGCAGCAGCGCCGGGUGCGGGAUGACGGCCUUCGGGUUGAAAACCGCUUUAGGCUGUGACGAAGCGGGAGUGACGGUAAUGGGUAAAGAAGCACCGGCUAACUACGUG
This 468-nucleotide ribosomal RNA is filed under the name uncultured bacterium. RNAcentral describes it as "partial 16S ribosomal RNA". It matches the Rfam family "Bacterial small subunit ribosomal RNA", at positions 28 to 507 of the family's 1533-position model. The record is from RNAcentral.